This 366-nucleotide ribosomal RNA is filed under the name Triticum aestivum (bread wheat). RNAcentral describes it as "partial small subunit ribosomal RNA". The record is from RNAcentral. Lineage: Eukaryota; Viridiplantae; Streptophyta; Magnoliopsida; Poales; Poaceae.
AUGAUCUGUUCCUUCCUCCGUUUCCAACUUUAUUUCUUCACGCUGUUUGUUUGUCCUGGUUGUGUGUUUGUUUGUCAAAGACCAACCCACCCCCACCCCAGCCUACCCCAAACAGCCCUUGUGGACAAAAGGCCCUUGUUUUUUGUUUCUGUUUUUUUGUCCCCUAUUUUUUCUACUUGUUGGUCACAUUAUUCCUCCUCCCUGCUUUUCUUUCUUUCUUUCUUGUCCUUGUUCCUGUGUGUCGCACGAUCUAGAGAAGCAAUCCUUUGCUUUGCUCAGUCCUGGGCUGGCCCUUCUCCAGGUUUUGGAAUGAUGCAUGGAAUGGAUGAAGUUUGUAUAUGUGUGCAUAUACAAGAGACAAAAUAG